RNAcentral lists this ribosomal RNA (747 nucleotides) under uncultured Actinomycetes bacterium. Its description in RNAcentral is "bacterial SSU rRNA". It matches the Rfam family "Bacterial small subunit ribosomal RNA", at positions 105 to 866 of the family's 1533-position model. Lineage: Bacteria; Bacillati; Actinomycetota; Actinomycetes. The record is from RNAcentral.
GGUGAGGAACACGUGAGGAAUCUGCCUUCUACUCUGGGAUAACUCCGGGAAACCGGGGCUAAUACCGGAUAUGAAACUUGGUGGCAUCACCGAGUUUGGAAAGUUUUUCGGUAGAAGAUGACCUCGCGGCCUAUCAGCUUGUUGGUGAGGUAAUGGCUCACCAAGGCGACGACGGGUAGCCGGCCUGAGAGGGCGACCGGCCACACUGGGACUGAGACACGGCCCAGACUCCUACGGGAGGCAGCAGUGGGGAAUAUUGGGCAAUGGAGGAAACUCUGACCCAGCGACGCCGCGUGCGGGAUGAAGGCCUUCGGGUUGUAAACCGCUUUCAGCAGGGAAGAAGCGAAAGUGACGGUACCUGCAGAAGAAGCACCGGCUAACUAUGUGCCAGCAGCCGCGGUAAUACAUAGGGUGCAAGCGUUGUCCGGAAUUAUUGGGCGUAAAGAGCUCGUAGGUGGUUCGUUACGUCGGAUGUGAAACUCUGGGGCUCAACCCCAGACCUGCAUUCGAUACGGGCGAACUAGAGUGUGGUAGGGGAGACUGGAAUUCCUGGUGUAGCGGUGGAAUGCGCAGAUAUCAGGAGGAACACCGAUGGCGAAGGCAGGUCUCUGGGCCAUUACUGACACUGAGGAGCGAAAGCGUGGGGAGCGAACAGGAUUAGAUACCCUGGUAGUCCACGCCGUAAACGGUGGGCGCUAGUUGUGGGAACCUUCCACGGUUUCUGCGACGCAGCUAACGCAUUAAGCG